AAUUUUGCGCAAUGGGGGAAACCCUGACGCAGCAACGCCGCGUGAAUGUUAAGCCCUUCGGGGUGUAAAGUUCUGUCAGUGGGGACGAAACUUGACGGUACCCACAAAGGAAGCACCGGCUAACUCCGUGCCAGCAGCCGCGGUAAUACGGAGGGUGCAAGCGUUGUCCGGAAUCAUUGGGCGUAAAGAGUUCGUAGGUGGUAUGUUAAGUCUGGUGUUAAAGCCCGAAGCUCAACUUCGGUUCGGCACUGGAUACUGGCAAACUUGAAUGCGGUAGAGGUAAAGGGAAUUCCUGGUGUAGCGGUGAAAUGCGUAGAUAUCAGGAGGAACAUCGGUGGCGUAAGCGCUUUACUGGGCCGUAAUUGACACUGAGGAACGAAAGCCGGGGUAGCAAAUGGG
Molecule: ribosomal RNA, 399 nt
Filed under: uncultured bacterium
Lineage: Bacteria
Description: bacterial SSU rRNA
Rfam family: Bacterial small subunit ribosomal RNA
Source: RNAcentral